RNAcentral lists this ribosomal RNA (1240 nucleotides) under uncultured prokaryote. RNAcentral's name for it is "partial 16S ribosomal RNA". It matches the Rfam family "Bacterial small subunit ribosomal RNA", at positions 64 to 1306 of the family's 1533-position model. The record is from RNAcentral.
GGGGGGGGUAACAGAGUAGCUUGCUAUUUGCUGAUCGGCGCACGGGUGAGUAACGCGUAUGCAACCUACCUUUUACUGGAGAAUAGCCUUUAGAAAUGAAGAUUAAUACUCCAUAAUAAUUAGAGCUCUCCUGAGUUUUAAUUUAAAGUUUCGGCGGUAAAAGAUGGGCAUGCGUUUUAUUAGUUAGUUGGUAAGGUAACGGCUUACCAAGACUACCAUACAUAGGGGUCCUGAGAGGGAGAUCCCCCACACUGGUACUGAGACACGGACCAGACUCCUACGGGAGGCAGCAGUGAGGAAUAUUGGACAAUGGGCGAGAGCCUGAUCCAGCCAUGCCGCGUGCAGGAAGACGGUCCUAUGGAUUGUAAACUGCUUUUAUACAGGAAGAAACCACCCUACGUGUAGGGUGCUGACGGUACUGUAAGAAUAAGCACCGGCUAACUCCGUGCCAGCAGCCGCGGUAAUACGGAGGGUGCAAGCGUUAUCCGGAAUCAUUGGGUUUAAAGGGUCCGUAGGCGGGCCGAUAAGUCAGGGGUGAAAGUUUGCAUCUCAACUGUAAAAUUGCCUUUGAUACUGUUGGUCUUGAGUUAUAGUGAAGUUGCCGGAAUAUGUAGUGUAGCGGUGAAAUGCAUAGAUAUUACAUAGAACACCGAUUGCGAAGGCAGGUGACUAACUAUAUACUGACGCUGAUGGACGAAAGCGUGGGGAGCGAACAGGAUUAGAUACCCUGGUAGUCCACGCCGUAAACGAUGGAUACUAGCUGUUCGGUCUUCGGACUGAGCGGCCAAGCGAAAGUGAUAAGUAUCCCACCUGGGGAGUACGUUCGCAAGAAUGAAACUCAAAGGAAUUGACGGGGGCCCGCACAAGCGGUGGAGCAUGUGGUUUAAUUCGAUGAUACGCGAGGAACCUUACCAGGGCUUAAAUGUAGAUUGACAGGGGUAGAAAUACCUUUUCCUUCGGGCAAUUUACAAGGUGCUGCAUGGUUGUCGUCAGCUCGUGCCGUGAGGUGUCAGGUUAAGUCCUAUAACGAGCGCAACCCCUGUUGUUAGUUGCCAGCGAGUAAUGUCGGGAACUCUAACAAGACUGCCGGUGCAAACCGUGAGGAAGGUGGGGAUGACGUCAAAUCAUCACGGCCCUUACGUCCUGGGCCACACACGUGCUACAAUGGCCGGUACAGAGAGCAGCCACUCCGCGAGGAGGAGCGAAUCUUCAAAACCGGUCUCAGUUCGGAUCGGAGUCU